Molecule: long non-coding RNA, 461 nt
Filed under: Nicotiana benthamiana
Lineage: Eukaryota; Viridiplantae; Streptophyta; Magnoliopsida; Solanales; Solanaceae
Description: long non-coding RNA (NBEN_LNC008733)
Source: RNAcentral
AAAAAGGAAAACAUAGUGUUUAUACAUAAGGAAAACCAAGUUAAACACACAAAUUAACUAGUUUGAAAGGUACAAAAUCAUCAUUUAAACAACUGCUCAGUUACAAAUCUCGGCUUGAAUAAGCCAACUUCAUGUUCUCCAUUCUCAUAAAUUAAGAGGUGAGGCGAAUACUUGGAAAUAAAAAUAAAAGGGAGGUAAGAUCAGUAGUAACAACAACAGUAAGCAGCAACAGAAGUAACACCCCAGAACCAACUUUAAACCAAGAAUUGUUGUGUAGCAAUCAAAACAAGAAAACAAAAACUUCAACCUAAGCCUUUCAAACCACCAAAAUCAAACUAUUUCAGCCCCACUUAGGUCAGAAAUCAUUUCAGGAGUUGAGACUUGAGAAAUCGCAGAAAUAAUCAAUGAAACAAUAACUUUUCACUAAAGAUUCUUAGCCGUCUUAUUUUCUGAACUUUUUC